Molecule: ribosomal RNA, 253 nt
Filed under: uncultured bacterium
Lineage: Bacteria
Description: partial 16S ribosomal RNA
Rfam family: Bacterial small subunit ribosomal RNA
Source: RNAcentral
UACAGAGGUCCCAAGCGUUGUUCGGAUUCACUGGGCGUAAAGGGUGCGUAGGCGGUCGGGUAAGUCUGAUGUGAAAUCUCACAGCUUAACUGUGAAACUGCAUUGGGUACUAUUCGGCUUGAGAGUUGGAGGGGGGACUGGAAUUCUUGGUGUAGCAGUGAAAUGCGUAGAUAUCAAGAGGAACACCAGUGGCGAAGGCGAGUCCCUGGACAACUUCUGACGCUGAGGCACGAAAGCUAGGGGAGCAAACAGG